RNAcentral lists this ribosomal RNA (301 nucleotides) under uncultured bacterium. Its description in RNAcentral is "partial 16S ribosomal RNA". It matches the Rfam family "Bacterial small subunit ribosomal RNA", at positions 509 to 809 of the family's 1533-position model. The record is from RNAcentral.
CAGUAGCCACGGGAAUACGGAGGGUGCAAGCGUUAAUCGGAAUUACUGGGCGUAAAGCGCACGCAGGCGGUCUGACAAGUCAGAUGUGAAAUCCCCGGGCUUAACCUGGGAACUGCAUUUGAAACUGUCAGGCUGGAGUCUUGUAGAGGGGGGUGGAAUUCCAGGUGUAGCGGUGAAAUGCGUAGAGAUCUGGAGGAAUACCGGUGGCGAAGGCGGCCCCCUGGACAAAGACUGACGCUCAGGUGCGAAAGCGUGGGGAGCAAACAGGAUUAGAUACCCGGGUAGUCCCUGUCUCUUAUAA